GCUUCUUUAUCUGGAGUAUGGGCUGGUCCAAAUGCUACCAGAGACCACAGUCAUAAAUUGCAACCGCUGGUAGAUUGCAUUUUGUCACUGGGAAGAACUCUGGAGAAAAAGCACGUGUCUGGUGUGACUGAGACUGAGACUGGUGGACUCGCCCGUAGGCUGAAGAAAAUGUUGGUAGAGCUCAAUGAAUAUGAUUAUGCCAGGGAAAUAGCAAGGACCUUCCAUGUCAAGGAGGCGUUGUAAACCAAGUUGGAAGGAGAAAUAAAAAAUCAACAGUGUCACGAAUGUUUAUAACCAUGUGGACUUGCCCUUAAAAGUUGACAAACCUUCGAGAUAAACCAACGUAAUACAGUGGAAAGAAUCACUGUUAAAGUUGACAGAGCCACCAGGGCCAGGGACAGUCGUCUCAAGCUGAAAAAUAGAAGAAAAAGAGCCGCGGACCUGACACGAAGAGCAUAUGAAGGAUCCAUCUCAAGAAGCCAGAUCUUCUCUCUUCUAAUGACUUGAUAUGAUUCUUGGAGUCUUGGCUGGCAAGAUGAGGAUUUUUCGGAGGUAGAAUAUCUAAGAAGCAAUUAUGUGAUUCCUUUGAUGAUCUAAGUGUGGGACUUCACCGUGAAUGUUUCCUCAGCUGUAAUUUUGAUUGAAAAAAAAUGAAUCCAAUGGUAGAAUUUAUGCAGUUCCUUUUAGGUUUCCAGGAUAACUAAUUACCCGUUGACUUCAAAAUCAACUGCCCACUAUUCAUAUUCUUAAUCCAUGGGAGUUCAUAAAUUCUAGCAGCAUUUUGGUGUAUCUACCUUGUUAUGUGACAUUUUAUAGUAAUUUGCUAACCAGACUUGUCACUCAUCAAGGAGGGGGGCUGUCUCUCUUUUUGGAUUUUUGGGA
Non-coding RNA from Carica papaya (papaya), 882 nucleotides. The record is from RefSeq and is a predicted model, not a curated record. NCBI's taxonomy places the organism in Eukaryota, Viridiplantae, Streptophyta, Magnoliopsida, Brassicales, Caricaceae.